RNAcentral lists this ribosomal RNA (382 nucleotides) under Didymium clavus. RNAcentral describes it as "partial small subunit ribosomal RNA". It matches the Rfam family "Bacterial small subunit ribosomal RNA", at positions 571 to 930 of the family's 1533-position model. Lineage: Eukaryota; Evosea; Eumycetozoa; Physariida; Didymiaceae. The record is from RNAcentral.
GUAGGCUGAUAGUUUAAAAAUAUCGUUAAAGGCUGUUGAUGCACAACUUCACUCGAUAUUCACUUGCUAUUUGGGUUUUGAGGGCGAGUUUCGAAUCCUUUCAGUAAGGGUAAAAUCUGUUAAUAAUUAGGAGACGUUCGAGGCGGAAGCAAUUCUUCGACUCAAAUCCGACGCUAAGGUACGAAAGCGUGGGGAUCAAAUAGGAUUAGAGACCCUAGUAAUCCAGCCGUAAACGAUGAGUGUUCAACAUUUUUUUAUGGUACAUCUUUUAAUAAGAUGAAAUACUUCGUGGAAAAUGGUUUGAAGUAACGCGUAAAACACUCCGCUGGGGAAUGUGGCCGCAAGGUUAAACUCAAAGGAAUUGACGGAGACUUGUACAAGG